RNAcentral lists this ribosomal RNA (802 nucleotides) under uncultured organism. RNAcentral's name for it is "bacterial SSU rRNA". It matches the Rfam family "Bacterial small subunit ribosomal RNA", at positions 504 to 1320 of the family's 1533-position model. The record is from RNAcentral.
CGUGCCAGCAGCCGCGGUAAGACGUAGGACGCAAGCGUUAUCCGGAUUUACUGGGCGUAAAGCGUCUGUAGGCGGUUCGAUAAGUUGGGCGUGAAAGCUCCGGGCUUAACCCGGAGAGGUCGUUCAAUACUGUCGAACUAGAGGACAUCAGAGGAGCAUGGAAUUUCCGGUGUAGCGGUAAAAUGCGCAGAUAUCGGAAGGAACACCAGUGGCGAAGGCGGUGCUCUGGGGUGGGCCUGACGCUGAGAGACGAAAGCUAGGGGAGCGAACAGGAUUAGAGACCCUGGUAGUCCUAGCCCUAAACGAUGGAUGCUAGGUGUGGGGCCGAGAAGGCUCUGUGCCGCAGUUAACGCGCUAAGCAUCCCGCCUGGGGAUUACGGCCGCAAGGCUAAAACUCAAACGAAUUGACGGGGCCCCGCACAAGCAGCGGAGCGUGUGGUUCAAUUCGAUGCUACACGAAGAACCUUACCUGGGUUUGACAUGUACGUGGUAGAGAAGCGAAAGCGGAUCGACCCUUCGGGGAGCGUACACAGGUGCUGCAUGGCUGUCGUCAGCUCGUGCCGUGAGGUGUCGGGUUAAGUCCCGUAACGAGCGCAACCCUUGCCCUUAGUUACAAGUGUCUAAGGGGACUGCCGGCGGUAAGCCGGAGGAAGGUGGGGAUGACGUCAAGUCAGCAUGGCCCUUAUAUCCAGGGCUACACACACGCUACAAUGGUCAGUACAAAGGGCAGCGAAGCCGCGAGGUGAAGCGAAUCCCAACAAAGCUGAUCUAAGUUCGGAUUGCAGGCUGCAACUCGCCUGCA